UAGUCAUAUGCUUGUUUCAAGGACUAAGCCAUGCAUGCCUCAGAAUCACUGCACUGCAGGAAUCUGCGCAUGGCUCAUUACAUCAGACGUAAUCUGCCGCAAAAUUGUUGCGGUUUCCGCAAGAUUGGAUACCUUGGCGAAACGCCAAGCUAAUACAUGAACAAGGGGUUGCCUCCACUCCAUGCCCGGGUCAAACCGGGCAGCGAGGCGCCUUGCGAAUGAAUGAAACUAGGACCAAUGCCACGCAAGUGGCAGCAACACAAGCAGUGUUGAACCAAUUCAUUCCGUGCGAAAGCCGGUUUACCGGCGUCUUUCGAUGAACAACUGCCCUAUCAGCCAGUGAUGGCCGUGUAGUGGACUGCCAUGGCGUUGACGGGAGCGGGGGAUUAGGGUUCGAUUCCGGAGAGGGAGCCUGAGAAAUGGCUACCACUUCUACGGAGGGCAGCAGGCGCGCAAAUUGCCCAAUGCCAAAGCAAAUGGUGAGGCAGCGAAAAGAAAUAGGUCUCCCAAACGUCAUACGGCGUUUGGGAGUUKSMAWUGGGRKAUAUUYAAACCCAUCCAAUAUCGAGUAACGAUU
This 577-nucleotide ribosomal RNA is filed under the name uncultured eukaryote. RNAcentral describes it as "bacterial SSU rRNA". It matches the Rfam family "Eukaryotic small subunit ribosomal RNA", at positions 21 to 551 of the family's 1831-position model. The record is from RNAcentral.